AGGUAGAUGAACGAAAAAAGAGAGAAGAAUAUGUUCACUCUGUAUGUCAGUCACCUCUAAGGUAAAGGAAAGAUGCAUGUGCCAAUGGAGUUGUCAACUGCUGGAAGAGCGAAAUGAGGUAAGAUGAUUCGAAGAACAAAAAAAAGAACAGGAGCUAAACAAGUGCUCUGGUAACCUGUGGGUUUGCUAGUAUCUCAACUACCUACUGGAAAAUGCUACUAACAGAGCAAUCAUCAUGCACUCGCCAAAUUGUUUCACCGAGAAGAUUGGCAACUGAAAGAACGGUCAGCUGUGGAAAACAGUUCUUUU
Molecule: unclassified non-coding RNA, 309 nt
Filed under: Hevea brasiliensis (rubber tree)
Lineage: Eukaryota; Viridiplantae; Streptophyta; Magnoliopsida; Malpighiales; Euphorbiaceae
Source: RNAcentral